Molecule: ribosomal RNA, 384 nt
Filed under: Triticum aestivum (bread wheat)
Lineage: Eukaryota; Viridiplantae; Streptophyta; Magnoliopsida; Poales; Poaceae
Description: partial small subunit ribosomal RNA
Source: RNAcentral
AUGUUAGAUACAUCGGGUCUCUCCAAGGCAUGGUGGGGGGAGGCGAUAUUGACAGCAUGUCAUGUCCUGAACCGAGUCCCCACAAAGAACAAAGAGAUAACUCCAUUCGAGGAAUGGGAGAAGAAAAGGUUAAAACUCUCUUAUCUGCGAACAUGGGGUUGUUUGGCAAAAGUCAAUGCUCCAAUUUCAAAGAAGUGGAAGCUUGGACCAAAGACUGUGGAUUGUGUUUUCCUGGGAUAUGCUUUUCAUAGCAUUGGCUAUAGAUUCUUGGUUGUAAAAUCUGAGGUACCUGACAUGCAUGUCGGUAGGAUCAUGGAGUCGAAUGAUGCGACUUUGUUCGAAGAUAUCUUUCCCAUGAAGGAUAUGGCUACCUCAUCUAAUUAG